GGCGGAACAGCUUGCCGUAGGGGCCGGUGCGCACCGCGUCCAUGGUCCCCGGCUCCAGGUCCAUGAGCACCGCCCGCGGCACGUACCGGCCACCGCUGGCCUCGUUGUAGUAGACGUCAACGCGCUCCAGCUGCAGCCGGGAGUCACCGACGUAGUCGCCCUUGGCGUCGAUGCCGUGCUCGUCCGACACCACCUCCCAGAACUUGGCCCCGAUCUGGUUGCCGCAUUGGCCGGCCUGGAUGUGCAGGAUCUCCCUCAUGGCUGAUCUUAAUACAACA
This 278-nucleotide long non-coding RNA is filed under the name Musa acuminata (dwarf banana). RNAcentral's name for it is "long non-coding RNA (MACU_LNC002513)". The record is from RNAcentral. Lineage: Eukaryota; Viridiplantae; Streptophyta; Magnoliopsida; Zingiberales; Musaceae.